This is a long non-coding RNA of Spinacia oleracea (spinach), 740 nucleotides long. RefSeq lists it as uncharacterized. NCBI's taxonomy places the organism in Eukaryota, Viridiplantae, Streptophyta, Magnoliopsida, Caryophyllales, Amaranthaceae. The record is from RefSeq and is a predicted model, not a curated record. The transcript is spliced from 2 exons.
UUAGCAACUUCCUUCUCCUAUUAUCAAGUUUAUUAAAUUUUUAUUUUAGAAAAAGUUGGACAUCAAUUUCUAACUCUUGUAAUUGGUUAAUUAGGAUAAUAGUAAGUUGACUUUACAUACUGUAAGACAUUAUAAAUAGAGGAGUUACGUUGUGAAUGAAAAGCAAUCAAACAAAAAUUGUUUAACUACUUCUCCAAGUAAAAUUAAGCUCGCUAAUUAUAAGAGAUUAAGUUGUUGUUUGAUUAUCGAUCAAGAUGGCUUUCCCAAAGAAUGUGAAACAACUAAUUUUUGUGCUACUACUCGUUAUCAUGGCAUCUAAUUUCGCAUCAGGGCAGCAACAGUGGUGCACCUUACAAGGUUAUCAAUGUGGUAAGGAUUUUGAUCCAUGUUGUGACGGACUAUGGUGUAGCGCGGUAAUUGUUGGUACUUGUUGUAGUAGUGGUUUUCUUGGGUGGCCGCUAUGCGGUCGCUAGUCAAUGAAUUAAGUCACGAGCGUUUCCAAUUGUCGGGAUUAUUGAUAUAUCAACAAACGGAUGGAUGGAUGGAUGAAUGAAGGUGUUGUAUUUUUGUAUUGAUUUCUUGUUUUUCUUAUAUUUUCCUGUAUUAUUGAUUUAUUGUCAUUCGUUAAUAACGUACUCGUAUCAUGUAUUUCUGUUUCUUAUUGAUGGUAAUAUGGCACCAUGGGCCUUUCUUUUGAGCUCAUUUAUGAAUAUAUGUUUGUAUGUCAUUCUCCCAUUGAA